RNAcentral lists this ribosomal RNA (429 nucleotides) under Chloroflexota bacterium. RNAcentral's name for it is "Chloroflexi bacterium partial 16S ribosomal RNA". It matches the Rfam family "Bacterial small subunit ribosomal RNA", at positions 355 to 776 of the family's 1533-position model. The record is from RNAcentral. Lineage: Bacteria; Bacillati; Chloroflexota.
UGGGGAAUAUUGCACAAUGGGCGCAAGCCUGAUGCAGCCAUGCCGCGUGUAUGAAGAAGGCCUUCGGGUUGUAAAGCACUAUCAGCGGGGAGGAAGGCGUUAAGGUUAAUAACCUUGGCGAUUGACGUUACCCGCAGAAGAAGCACCGGCUAACUCCGUGCCAGCAGCCGCGGUAAUACGGAGGGUGCAAGCGUUAAUCGGAAUUACUGGGCGUAAAGCGCACGCAGGCGGUCUGUCAAGUCGGAUGUGAAAUCCCCGGGCUCAACCUGGGAACUGCAUUCGAAACUGGCAGGCUAGAGUCUUGUAGAGGGGGGUAGAAUUCCAGGUGUAGCGGUGAAAUGCGUAGAGAUCUGGAGGAAUACCGGUGGCGAAGGCGGCCCCCUGGACAAAGACUGACGCUCAGGUGCGAAAGCGUGGGGAGCAAACAGG